Molecule: long non-coding RNA, 4681 nt
Organism: Cygnus atratus (black swan)
Lineage: Eukaryota; Metazoa; Chordata; Aves; Anseriformes; Anatidae
Exons: 11
Source: RefSeq, a predicted model, not a curated record
GCCCACUGCCCUGCUCCUGCAGACAGAGCCUCAGGGGAGCUCAUCACGUGCCAGCCGAGCAGGAGUUGAGGCCAGAGUAAUACGGAAAUGAAAAAAGAAAAGGAUUGCCUAAUCCACUAGUAAGAUGUAGCCACUUUGAGGGAGCAACACGGCUUAAUGUAGCAGUCCUACAGGCCUCGGUCCAGGAAUAAGUUUAAAGGAGGUGGUGACAAGGCAGCCACCAGCCUACAGUUCAGUGUACAGGUGUGUCCAAGGUCGCUAGGGUGUAGCACAACUGUACCACGUGGAAUAUCCCUUCCCUGACAGCAUAAACGACUGUGGGUGUCCUCAUUUUUCCAGCACUAUGCAACAUAUGUUCGAAGCAGAGCUCUCCUUGGAUAACGCUGGAGCAGGAGCAUUUAUCACUUCCACCAGUUAGACCACAUCUAAGAGGCAGGCAUCCAGAAGACAAGAGGCACCACCGAGGGGCCAUUUGUGAACAAACACAGUUUAAGUGAUUUGCCCCAUCUCUGCAUAGGAAAUUGGAGCAUCCAAAUGCAGCGUAAGACCCUGGAGCUCUGGAACACUUACCCUGGCUGGACUGCUCGGCUUCCCGAGCCACCGUGCCCUUACAAAGGCGUCUGCCAGCUUUUCCACUUCUAAGGGAGAAGAGCUUCAUAUGGAAAUUCUGAGCCAUUCUCAAGGCAUGUCCAUUAUGACAAAGAUAACGAAGAAAGACAGAAAUGGUCCACAUCACAGACUGGCCAGGAUACAAUACUCUCAAGGAAAAGAAACGGAGGUAUUUUGAAACUAUUCUGCGUGCUUUGGAAUAUAGGCAGUUUACACAGAUGCUUGAUAAAGCGCUUACACCCUGGCAGCUUCUCACAGUUGUUGCUGCCGCUGCUGCUGUUCCUUGCACCUCCUCCCCCAGAUAACACGCCAUGGUAUAAGUAAGUUUUCCUUAAUUGAAAAGAGACAGGGUCGCACCACAGCUAUCCCAGCCAGACUCUGGGAAGGUUCUUCCACACAGGACAUCGAUGAAGGAUAUUUUUCUGACUCAUUCAGCCUUAGGCAAAGCAGAAUCCAUGUGGAGCAGGGUCCUGUACCUCUCCAAGUAAGGCAGGACUUGCUUUGCUGGCUUGGACCAGGGCCCCAGCAUAGCUGUAGCCUUGUCCCAGGGGGCACUUGAUGCUUCCCAGGAAGGUGUCCCAGGCCCCCUUACGGAUAAAUAGAGAAUAACCUGCCUGCCAGGCAAGGUGGGUUUUGACAAGCUGCCCCCUUCCCAUACACACACACACAGAGUCUGAUGCAUGAACCUUUGGGCCUGUCUUAAAAAUGUUGUCUGGACAUGUCUGAAGGUCUUAUAUUUUAUGUAUGUAUCAAAUUGAGACUCUGAUUCCUGCACACUGAACCAAGAGAUGAGGGUGAACCAGAGAGGCCUUCUGGCUUUGAUAAAAGCUGGUCUGAAAGAACCAGUGUCAGGAGAGUGAGAUUUGCUUAGAAAACUGUGGUUCCCUGAGAACUGGCUUGCUGCACACAAGCUUUGGCUGGUGUCCCUCCAGCAAUCCUUCCUGGGCUAGUUAUCUCCCAUCCAGAACAUAACUGUACAGUCUCCGUGCAGCAGCUAGUGUAGAUCAUGAAGCAAAAGCGGUCCAGAGACUAAAACACAGGGCUGGCAACUCUUCUAAUCUAAUCGUUGUUCUCCGACUAAUUUAGUAUCCCCUUUAUUUAGAAGAUACACAGUGCUGUGCAGAGGCUGCUCUGGAGUCAUGUCCCAUGUGGACACUCUCACUCUGAAGUUAAGAGUGCAGCUCCUUUUCAGGAGGGCUAAUCUCCCUCCCGCUGAAUCCUCACUGAUGAUUAGUACAGGACAUGCAGUACAUUCCCAUAGCAGCUCAGAAAACUCCUAGGAUGGGGAAACCCAUAAUAAUUUGCCACUUCAUUUCUAACUUUAUUGAAAGGCUUCCCGUGUCUUCAAAGAAAAUGGGAAUGUUUCUGGAGUUGUUUUUCUCUCUCUUGCCUUGCAGUUUUAUGCCUGUGUUGAAAUUCCACAGGAAGGAGAAUAUCAAUGUUUUCAUUAGUCUUUCUGAAGAAAUUUCCGCUAAGCAUUAUUAUUUAAAGUUCUGUUGAUUUUAUGCCAGUGAAAUUGUCAAGAACUUCAUCAUAUAGAAGUGUCCAAGAAAAGGUGUUAGUAGUACAGAUCUAACUCACAGAUGGCUUUGGAAUAGGCUAGCUAAGGCUUGUCAAGUGUUUUUCAUGUGCUACAGAGAGGCAAUUCCUGCAAGUAAGCUGUCUGAAAUGUAAUAUCCCUGCCCUGCCUUAUUGAAACUUUGCCGUACACUCACAAUGAUCAGAUCUGAUUUUCCAUGAUCAAUCCUUUGUGUUUCCUACCCCAGUAUUGUCCCAGAGUGGUAUACUCUUUCUCCUACAGAGUUUAUCUCUGAAUCCUGCAAAUAUUCUGGAGUUCUAUUGAAUGAAUAUAGGGAGAAGCUUUCUGCAUCACGUACAUGAGGUAACUGUUCUGAGCUCUCUCUCUAUUUCUUUUUUUUUUUUGGUGUUGAGGGAACUACUUGAAUUUUGAUGCACAGAAGGGAAAUGGGUGAAGGCAGAUUGGGAGGUAAAAGACAGGUGAAUAGAGAUGUUGUAUGGAUGCCUUAGCCAGCCACUCAGUGUGUCCUCCCUCCUCCUCUCUAUCGUACUGCAGCCUCUUCUAGGGAAAACAAAGGUGUCAUGGCAGCUUCUCCAGCUCCACAGCUAGAGAAAUAGCUGCUUUGCCCACUGGUAAGCUGGGAAGAAGGAUUUUUCCUCCCCUCCCCAAGAGACUGCUAUGCAAAACUUUUAUGACUUGAGUGAGGAGAGCAAGUGGAAGAGAAUGCUCCCCCAGACAGUGGGGAUGAGGAGAACAGCUGACAGCUUGCCAUGUGCAGCUUGCAGAUCUCAGCAGUUUGUGGUGCUGUGGAACAGAUUUUGAAGGAAAGGAGAAAUACAGGAGGUAAGGGGAAAAUAGGACAGCGUGCAUCAUCUUUUGAUGAAAGCUAAAAUUCCCUACCUUCUAGGUAAAAGAAACAUAGCAGACCAUAUCUACCUAGACUUCAGCGAGGCAUAAGAUCCCAGAAGAAGCAAAUUAUUUUAAAAGACUCAGCUGAAUAAGGCAGGGAUUAUUAGAAAAAUCCUCAAGUGGGUAAGAGACUGAUGGAAUUGAAACACAAGUUCCCUAAUAGGUUGAAAGAAAAUUAUCUGUGAGGCUGCUCAAAGAUUGCACUUAGGACUGAUCUUUCUUAAUAUUUUCAUUAAUUACCUUGACACUGAAAGUAGAAAUGCUAAUGAAAUCUGCUGAUGGAACAGAGCCUAUCAUCAGGACAGAGGUGAUUCCAGCACCAGGAGAACUGAAGGCUCUCCACAACUGGAGUGAUCAAGGACAGAGAGUGAGAGAGCAGUGUGGUGGAGUUCAGCUGCCCAUCAGUGUGAAAACACCAUACAGACCAGAGUACCAAACCAGCAAAGAAUGAGAAAAGAAGAAAAAAGAAACAAGGUGGAGGAACAAAACCAUGGAGAGCCAAAGGAUUUGUCCAAAUGAUUAUUUUGUGAUAUGUGUUGGCUGGAUUCUGAAGCCUUCUGUGAACAACGAGAAUUACAGCAAAUGGAGAGGGCAGGAGGACACUGCUGGCCCAAGCAGAACAGAAAGAUGAUACCAAAGUGUGCUUGCACUGUGCUAAGACUCCUGUAUGAGCUCGUGGAGAAACCUGGUGAUAAAACCUGACAAGUAUCGAACUGGAUGGGAACUCACAUUUUGUUUCCAAGUGCAACAAAGCUGUGAGGUGGUUCAUCUGGAAGACUGUGAUUGGAAGACUGGAAGACUAAAUAUUGAUGAGAGACUGCUCUGCUCACUGGCUUUGAGGGCAAAUGAAACAGCGCAGUGUAUGUCUGUUUGCCUCUCCACUCCCUCCCUCAGACCCUAAGCAGGGUGCUUUUGUCCAUGCUGCACUGUGGGAGCCGUUAUUAGUCAGGCCGGCAUCUGAUCCCUCCUAGGAGAGCAUCAAUGGCCUGGAGAGAAAUUGGCAGAGAACAUGCUGACAGUUAAACAAUACCAAUGACAGCAGGAUCAUAUUGGAGCCUGUGCCUCGGUCCUGUUAGCUUGUGAGUUAUAGAUGUACCUCCACUGUCUGAGAGUAAGUUAGGUUUGGAAGAGGACGAAGGUCAGAAAGUAAGCAGUGAAAAUAUGACUGCACCACUGAGCUCAAGGAGAGAUGAGCUGUCCUUUAAAUUGCAACCUGCUACAUUUAUUGGAUUGCCUUUUGGACUGUGGAAUAAUGGGUAAGAUGAUGGAUUCUUCAACUUGUGACUGCCAAAAUAUGUGGAUAAGGACAUAAUCAACAUCUUCACUAAGCUUAUGAGCUGAUGCAGAAAAUGUUUUGUUUAUGUCUGGACUGAUGUGUGGGUCAGUGCUAGAGCUGGGAUUAUUCUCACAGAGAUGAGUGUCUCUAUCCUGUAGUGUCUAUGGCGUCUGGAUGAGCAGAGCAAGCCAGCCUCUGGGCUUCAGCUUACCAGUCUGGUGCACAGCUUGCUCUCUACUAGGCACUGAGUACAAGCUGGAAUGGAGGCAGGAUAAGCAACCAAGGUAAUAAAUAACAGUAUAAAUAGUCCUGAGAUAACUUCAGAGAAAGUCCAUCUUUGAAAAACAGUAUUUGUGUGCUAACAUGGU